Long non-coding RNA from Manihot esculenta (cassava), 1315 nucleotides. RefSeq lists it as uncharacterized. The transcript has 2 exons. The record is from RefSeq and is a predicted model, not a curated record. Lineage: Eukaryota; Viridiplantae; Streptophyta; Magnoliopsida; Malpighiales; Euphorbiaceae.
UCUCUCAUCUCUUCCAUUCUCUUAGUGUUUUUUUUUUAGUUGGGAAUUGAAAAUCGGAUGUUCAACAUAAAACUUCUCUUAAUUACUUAAAUACAUUUAUUAUUACACUUUUCAUUCCCUUAAUUUUAAUAAGUAGAAUUUUUUCAAUCAACCAAACUCACAUUAACACAGUUAAGUGUACUUAGGUUCUCCAUUUUAUGUUCUUGUAUUUUCUUAAUCGUGUUUAACUUGUUCUUGUGUUGCCAAAUUUAUCAAUGAAUAUGUAUACAUAUAUAUAACUCCAGAAUAUUUUUGAUAGAAUGCUCGCACUUAUAAAAAAAAUGAAUUAAACAAAGUAGACUCUCACGUUAUGUGAAGGAAAAAAAAAAGAUUUUUUAAUAUUAUUAUAAUCUUAAUAAAAUAUUAAAAAUUAACAAAAUAGUUUUUUACAAAUUAUAGUGCUGCCUUUUGGCAUGUUUUAGUCUCGCAUCGCAUGUCCCUUCAGUGCGAGUUUUCUCUACAAAUUCUUCUUUUUGUCUUUUCGUUUCUAAGUCCACAGCCAUGGAAUCAAAGAUCGCAGCUCUUCAUCUGGUUGGUGGCAAGGAGGCCCUCCUCUCGAGUCAGCUAUUGAUGCAUCUCAAUUUGUCUUCAAGGAAUUCAGUCUUGUUGGUCGACUGCUCACAGAUCGACAAGUCAAUUUUGGGGCUAUGCGAAACACGUUGUCGAGCAUUUGGAGACCUAGUUGCGGCAUUUUUAUGCAGGAAUUGGCAUCGAAGAUCUUACUGUUUCAGUUUUUUCAUUCUGUUGAUUUGAGGCGUGUUUUGGAUGGUGGACCUUGGACCUUCAACAAUGCGUUGUUAAUUUUACACCAUUUGCAGGUGGUUUUAAUGCAUAUUAUUUCACAAUAAUUACUAGGGGAUUGCAACAAUAUAUGCGUGCAAGGGAGUUGCUUGACAUUCGGAAGCCACUCAAAAGGACUUAAAAAGUGUUAAAUAAGGAUGGGCGUGUUGUUCAAGCUCUGUUUCGCUAUGAGAGGCUCCUACAUUCUGUUAUUUAUGUGGGUGUAUUGGUCAUUCGGAGCGGUACUGUGAGCAUCUUUUCUCCACCAAUAUAGCUCAUCUUCAACAUGGUUGGAGGACCGUAAUGGAGAGCAUGUGGUGGAUGGUUUCAACUUUCAACCUUAGUUACUCACUUGCCAGGAGAAGAUGACAUGGAAGGUGUUCAAACUUUAACCCGCCUGAAGGAUCAAAUUAUGGACCUCGAGAGAAUGAAAUUGGUUCAAAAGAUGUGUUCAUUGAGUUGGAAGAUAGCAAUAAAUCGCCUCUAAUUGAUUUUA